GACUUCCGGGUAAACAUGGCUACAAUCUAGACGCGAAUCGAUUCCUUUCCCCAGCACCGAGCGAAAUAGACUAUCUCAAAAGAGCAUAAAAAUCACCUUUGGAAGAACGGAGGGACUCUCCAGUAUCCCACAGUAAUGAAGCUCCUAGUCAAGCACUCAAGAAACACUUAUGGAACUGAAGUGAAUUAUGAAGGGCUGGUGGUGGUAUAAUGGAAAGAGCUCUGGAUUAGAAGUCAGCACCAACUAGCUGUCAGACAUUAGGGCGCUUCUAUAAAGGCGCUUCUUGGAAAGCUCCACCAGGGGGAAUCUGAGGUCGUUCAACACUUGCACCUUGUUGAUGGAGGCCAAUGGUUUGUGUCGGUGCUCGUACUGUGCCACCUUGUUCUCUUGGAUGAAGACAUGGAAAUAUUCUGAAUCUGAAAAGAUUUCAAUCUGAAAGACAAGCAAAUCAGUGCAGGCUCCUAGCAGCAAAAGCAUUAUCUUUCCCUUCCCUAUCUCAACAAUCUUCUCUCUCUUAUUGACAUGCAAGCACAAUGCCUGGCAUUUCAUAGGGGCUUUAAAAAUGCUAGUUGAAUGAAUGAAUGCACAAACAAAUGCUACUUUUCCCCAACCAGACCACAAAAGGACAAUGGAAACGGGUUUGAAUCUCGCUUCUGACAAACACUGCCUAUAUAACCCUGAGCAAAUCUUUAGCUUUUCAGUGCCUCAGGAAGGACUUUAAAACUACAAAUUGCAGAGUAGUUGUCAAUCUUCACCAGUAGAAGGAUUUUCUGGGGAGGAGAAUUUAAGGAAGGGAGUUCCCCUAUACCAAUAAAAUCACAGAUAUCAACCAAAACAACAAGAAAAUGAGAUUAGAAGCUCCUUAUUCAGUUGUUUCAAUCAUGUCUGACUCUUUGUGACCCCAUUUAGGUUUCUUUUUUUCUUAUUGUACUUUGGUUUACUAAUGCAUAGAAUUGUAUUUACUCAUGAUGCCUCUUGAGAGAAGGGAUCUUUUACUUCUUUGUAUCCUCAGAGGUUGAGACAGCUAAGUGACUUAAAUCCAGAAAGAUUCAUCUUCCUGCAUUUAUAUCAGACAUUUAUUUGCCUGGUGACCUUGGGCAAGUCACUUAAUCCUACUUGUCUCAGUUUCCUCAUCUGUCAAAUGAGAAGGAAAUGACAAACCACUCCAGUAUCUUUGCCAAAAAAAUCCUAAAUAAAAUCACGAAGAAUCAGAUAUGAUUGAAACAACUGAACAAAAACAAAAUUCCCAUUACUUAACAUAUUGUCAUACUUGUAGUAGGAGCUCAAUAAAUGUUGGUUCAUCAACAUAAUGAAUAAUAAGAUUAGAACCUGUUGGUUCAUCCUUUCCUCACAGGACAGGUACCCAAAGUCAUAUUAAGUGUUCAGUUUUACAAAUGGGGAGACCAAGGCACUAGGAAGUUAAGGAACUGAGUCCAAGAUGAAGGGGAAGACAGCAAUCAAUUCAGCAAUGGUGGUCAAACCUUCAGAUCUCUCACCAUUAGCCUUGAAAUCUUCCCAGGCUAACUUCACCUAAUGACUUACUCUCUCCUUUUGGACACUUAAAGACCCAAGUCAGUUUUCUGCCUACCAAGAUAAGCAGAGGGAUACCAUUAACCAUAUAUACUGAGCUAGGCACCUUUCUAGUAUCAGGAGGUAGGAAGAAACAAUGGUUUCUAAGAUAAGAAGAGGAAGAAGAUAAGAGAAAGAUUUCCAACCACACUGAAUGACACUCUACAUCUUUCCACUAUGUACACUGUAGAUAACUAUUUAGAGAGAGGAGCAUGCUAUAGAGGGGAAUGUGCUGGGCUUAUGUUGGAUUUCUGCUUCUGUCCCUUUCCAAGUGGUGUGAGUGGGAAAAUAACUUUAACACACUGAGCCUCUUGAGGUCUCCUUAUCUGGGAAUGGAUAGCAAUUGUUGUGCCACCCAUUUUACAGGGUUUACAAGUGUAUAUAUGUAUAUAAAAUAUUUUACAGGAUUUACAAGUGUAUAUAUGUAUAUGUAUAUAUGUAUAUAAAAUACAUAUAAUUGCUAUAUGAAUUUGAAUGAUUAUUACAGUACUCCCUGGGCUCCCCUCCUGCCCACUUGUUACCUAUGGGAAGUUUUCCUGGAACCUUGUCUUAAGAACUCUCUUGGGACCCUAGUGAGGAUGACAAGAAUUGUUUAGGCAAAAUUUGUGAAGUCCUUACCCAGUUGGCUUUGAGAAAGCUCUGUGGGAUCUUGAAGGGCACUGUUACUCUCUGAGAAACCAUCUUUGUUUAUCACCACCCCAUUCUGUUGACAGGGAGGAAGGGAACCUGUUCUUACCUCAAAGGGUUCUUUUAGUUCCAGAGGGAAGACAUUGAAAACUUCCUCUUCACCCCAAUGACUGGUCUGGAAGGAGUUGCAGACCAAGGUGGCAUUGGAGAACCGGGGUUUGAAGUGGAAAGCGAUGUCACCUGACUCAGAGAGGAAGUUUAUUUCAAACCUAUUGGAGAGGAAAGAAAGCUACCAAGAGGAAGGUACUUGACACCCCUUCCCCUCCCAACUUCCCUUGGUUUCCUAGACCCUACAUCCCAUUCAGUCCUAGAGUAUGUCUGAGGUCCUCCCAAAGACAGUCUCAAUUUGCAAUGGCAGCACUUGGCACCCUGCCAUUGUCCCUUGUUUCCUCUUGGACAUUUAUGUGGGGAGGCAGGAGGGAGAGGCAUGAGGAAAGAAAUUUCUCUUACUCAUCAUCUUUGGAGUUGGUCUGACCCUGGACCAUCAGACUCCAGCCUGGGACCAGGCCACCUGAGCAAAAGGCUUCAAACUGUGAAUGGAAAGAGAAAGAGGGAAGAGCUGGAGUACUGAUGGGAUCCUUCUCCCCAUUCCCCAAUAAAUUCAUCAAUAAUCGAUAAACAUCUAGUAAGUGAUUAUGAUAUGCAAGUGAUGAAUCAGAUGGGAAAGAAAGCCAGAAACAGCCUUUGUCCUAGAAGCAUACAUCCUGAUGGGUCAGACAACACACAUAAAUAAAUACAUACAAAAUAAAUACAGACUAUAUACAAAAAUGCCUUACUGGGGAAGGCACUGGCAGUGGGGGAAGUGCAAAGGCUUCAUUCAUCAUUCAACAAACAUUUAUUAAGGGUGCACCAUUUGCUGGGCAUUGGAUACAUAAUAAACAGCUCACAUUAUGGUUUGUAUUAUAAUUAUGUUGAUGUGUGUGUCUGCUUCUAUUCUUCCAGUCAGUAAAAUUGCAAUAAAAUGUCAAGAAUAAAUUUAAUUGACAUUCCUA
Molecule: long non-coding RNA, 3248 nt
Organism: Monodelphis domestica (gray short-tailed opossum)
Lineage: Eukaryota; Metazoa; Chordata; Mammalia; Didelphimorphia; Didelphidae
Source: RefSeq, a predicted model, not a curated record